UACGAAGGGGGCUAGCGUUGCUCGGAAUGACUGGGCGUAAAGGGCGCGUAGGCGGCGCCGCAAGUCGAGUGUGAAAGCCCCGGGCUCAACCUGGGAAUUGCGCUCGAGACUGUGGUGCUGGAGUUCGGGAGAGGAGCGUGGAAUUCCCAGUGUAGAGGUGAAAUUCGUAGAUAUUGGGAAGAACACCGGUGGCGAAGGCGGCGCUCUGGACCGAGACUGACGCUGAGGCGCGAAGGCGUGGGGAGCAAACAGG
RNAcentral lists this ribosomal RNA (253 nucleotides) under uncultured bacterium. RNAcentral describes it as "partial 16S ribosomal RNA". It matches the Rfam family "Bacterial small subunit ribosomal RNA", at positions 524 to 776 of the family's 1533-position model. The record is from RNAcentral.